This 2846-nucleotide long non-coding RNA is filed under the name Macaca fascicularis (crab-eating macaque). Its description in RNAcentral is "lncRNA (ENSMFAG00000048756.1)". The record is from RNAcentral. Lineage: Eukaryota; Metazoa; Chordata; Mammalia; Primates; Cercopithecidae.
CCCCUCCCCUGCCGCGCAUGACCCCCGCGGGCCGGGCCGGGGCGGGCGGGGUCUCCGGCGAGGUCAGCGCUGGGUCGGAGUCCCUCCCCACCUGCGCCGGGCGCACUCGAGCCCCACGCGCGGCUGCGUCUGGUGGGCGGGAGGGGCCCCCUGAACUAGCCGCGCGUCCCAGGCCGCGACCCCAGCGCCGGGGCGAGUGGGUGCGCGGCACUGCGAGACGGCUGCACCCCUCAGCCCAGCCCUCGACUCUGCCCUCGCCCUUCGCUGCGCUGGCGCUUUCCGGGUGCGCAGGCGCCCCGCCCCGCCGUCUCCACCGUCCCCGCCCGGCGCGCUGGGGACCGGAAUGGCCCGGCUGGUUUUGAAUGCAGAGAUCGGGCUUUGUGAGCGGCCGCCCCACCCCACAUGCCCCACGGCCCGGCUCCCUCCCCGCACCCCGGCCCCAGCCCCCGCCCUCAUUAGCAUAGCAGCUGCUCGCCGAGCCGGACGGCGCGGAGGAAAGGGCAGAGGCCUCGGGAAUGAAUGGGGGCCGCGGCUUUGGAGGGGCGAGAGAAGAAAGACCGACAGACGGACGCGCGGAGGACGGUCGGAAGAAUGCGCCGGACGGGUGUUGGGGGUUUCCAGCGGGGGGGAGCGGCUCCGAGCAGUGGAGCCUGAGUGUGCGGGUAUGGGUGGAGGGCGGCCUCCCGGGGACCCCCAAGCCCUGGAGGGUCUGCACUGGAGGCCCCGGAAGGGGCAGUUGCAGAGGUUCCCAGACCUUCCACAGCCCCCUCCCGUGGCCUGAGCCCUCGAAUCCCGGCCUCAGGCUUCGUUCCCAGCUGUCCCUGGCUCGGAGCCUCCUUUCCCGUCCUUCAAGGCCCAGGUGGACGCUGCCUCCUCCCCGCAGUCUCAAGGAGCUUCAGGGGCAGCUGGCCUUCACGAGGUUCUUGUGGCCACUCUCCUUUCCAACGGCUGGGGCAUCCCUGGGCUGAUCCAGGGCAAGACUUCCCAGAGCCUGCUUCAGGGAGCUGGCCCGUCUCCCAGGCUGAUUCUGCAGGAUAGGAAAUGCGUAACCGACGGAAAACGCGCCUGGAAAACCAAGGGUAAACAGGGCAGCAGUGCAGAGUAGGAAGGCGGAGGCGUGGGGAAAGUUUGUGGGAAGGGCAGCCCUUCUGGGGACACGGUUUAGGGAAGCAGAUGCCCCUUACACUCCGCGGAGGGGUUUGAAAAGUUGUUACCUUGUAACUCCAGGUCUUUACCCUUCUCCAAGUUCUCCCUGCUGGCUGCUCUUGCCGGGGGGAGGGCGUGCUCCCUUGCAGCCCUGUACAGCGCCCCCAGGGCCCCAAAGGCAUCUCAGGAGUGGGCCAAGAGUUUCUGCUCCUUUCUCUCAGGUGCUGGCAACAGUCAUCCUGCUCUGCUCUCCUCUCUUGCGAAUGGGGGUGCUCAGCCCCGACGCUCCUCUAACUCAGGGUCUGUGUUCUUUGGGGUGUUUGACUCCAGGCCUGUGUGGGCCUCCAGAGCUCCCAGGUGCCUCCAGGGGACUUUCUACUUGCCAGGAGUGAGCAGCUAUGAUAUUUUCCCCCAAUUUACAAGAUACCCCCUUCUGUGCAGCAGGCACCCUCCAGCAUGACCCCCUAGAGGGUAGGAGUGGGCAGGGCUUCAGGCCAAACUGUCCUCUCUGGUGGAGGUCUCAGCCGCUCUGCUGGGGAACGGAGCAGAGGCUGUGACGCCAGCUCUGGGCACUCUGGAGGCGCUGGGUCCUCAUGAGUCCUGUGUGCAGCCAGGUUGGGCUUGGCCGUUGCAUGGGGCUGGGAGCGAGUUUACCAGGCUCUGUCUUCAGGCAAAUACAAGCCAAGCAUUGUGCACCCAGCACCCACAAACUGUGUCGCAGCCUAACCCUCGUCCCCAAAGAGGGUGUUCUGCAACUUGUGCCAAAGCCAAGAAGGACCAACAAACUUUUUUUUUUUUAAUAUAAAAAGAUCAAUGAAAAAUUUAUUUAUAAAUUUUUCACGCAGGGCUACAAGUCAAUAUCGUACACUCAGAAAUGUGCUGCACAAACUUUAUCCAGUUAGAAGUGAUCAUCCCGUGACCCACACACAGCUUCGAUAUAAGCCUAGAAAGUCUUAACAUUAAUUAACAUAAUUAAAAAGGUAUUUGCAUCUAGAAAAAAUAUACAGAACUCCUUGUGGAGUAAUCUGUGCCUCCAUUUCAAUGUCUGCUUGUUUCACUGACAUUAUCAAUAUAUUCUUCUCACACAAAGUUUUAUAAAAAGCCACGGAUGGCUGCCCGAAUAGGACCAGCCACGCACAAAGGGCCUCCACCCACCUGUGUCCUCAAGUGCUCCCCAUUUCUGCACGAAGGGUCAGCAGCAUUUCCAUGAAGGGGAAACCUCAUUUAAAUUUGAAUAAUUCAGCCUCCCUUUUAUUUCUCAGGAUCAAAACAACAAGGGGUGUGGGGCUGCAUAGAAAACUGGAGCCACAGAAACCAGGAAGGGCGCCUUUCAGGACAGAAAGUGACGCAGGAGAACCUCCCCGGGCCCAGGUCUCGACGCGACCCCUCCCCCACGGCAGGAUUUCGGAUUCGAAUUGAGUCCUCGAAGCUCUGGGAGGCUAAAAAGGGGCAAAACGGUCCUUCAAUUCACUCAGCCAUUAGCACGAGAGAUUCACAGUCUUAUAGGUAUUUUAUAAAAAUAUAAAUAUGGGUACACUCUGUUGCCUUCACAACGCUGGAUACAUCGCCCUUUAAAAUUGGGUUUAUAACCAAGAUUCAAAAAAUACACCUAAAACUUGGCUUAAAAUAUGUUAAUAUUUUAUAUUCUGUCAUAAAUGUUAUGACAUUUAAUUGUGGCAAAUCCAUUUACUUUUUUUAAA